GAUGAAGAACGCAGCGAAAUGCGAUAAGUAAUGCGAAUUGCAGAAUUCCAGUGAGUCAUCGAAUCUUUGAACGCACAUUGCGCCCUUUGGUAUUCCGAAGGGCAUGCCUGUUCGAGCGUCAUUAUCACCCCUCAAGCCCUCGGCUUGGUGUUGGACGGUUUGGUGGAGGCCCCCUCGGGGGUUCCUGCCCCUCCCAAAGACAAUGACGGCGGCCUCGUUGGACCCCCGGUACACUGAGUUCUUCACGGGACACGUAUCGGACACAUGGGUUUACGGGACACGGUCUGCCUCCCCUCAGGGAGAAUCUUUCUAAGGUUGACCUCGGAUCAGGUAGGGAUACCCGCUGAACUUAUGCAUAUCAAUAAGCGGAGGA
Molecule: unclassified non-coding RNA, 373 nt
Filed under: soil metagenome
Description: partial contains 5.8S ribosomal RNA, internal transcribed spacer 2, and large subunit ribosomal RNA
Rfam family: 5.8S ribosomal RNA (bases 1-121)
Source: RNAcentral